RNAcentral lists this ribosomal RNA (1932 nucleotides) under Triticum aestivum (bread wheat). RNAcentral describes it as "partial small subunit ribosomal RNA". The record is from RNAcentral. Lineage: Eukaryota; Viridiplantae; Streptophyta; Magnoliopsida; Poales; Poaceae.
AUGGCUGCUGUCGGCGCGAAGGCGGUGCCGCCCACUCUGCUGUCGCUGUGCCUGCAAGCGGUCGCCGCACAUCUCACCGCCGACGCAGCAGGCGCGGGUCGAUCUGGUGGUCGCGGUGCUCAUUUCGACGGGCUCGUCCAGGAGCACGAGGAGGAGGAGGAGGAGGAGGAUGGCGGCCACCUCGCGCCGGAGCAGGUCGCGGAGGCGCUGCCUUGGGAGCUUCUCCAUCAGCUGGCGUCUUCUCUGCCGCCGUUCGCUCUCGAACUGCUCCAUCACGGCGCCCAUGCCCGAUGCUGCUCUUCCACUUCCCUUACGGAUCCGGACGGCAAUAGACGUGGGACUAAACGUUCAAGGUGUGAAGACUUCAACACUGCAUGGCAGGCAUUGUUCGAAUUUCGCUGGCCCCUCCAUGAUAACACUGGACAUGAUGACUUGGUUACUGUAGAUUGGCAGCAGCGAUACUGGGAAAAGCAUUUGCAAGAGUGCCUGGAUGAAGCUGCCGAGGCUGCGUUGCUUCCUUUAUUUCGUGGUAGUAUUGGUGAGCUAAGUAUGUCAGAUAAAAUCAUGAGUUCCGUUUACCUCAGUGAGAACAUAGCCCAACAGUAUUCCAGACUGUCAUAUCAUUGGACCAUACUUGGAUCUUAUGCAAGGUGCUUGAGAUUUCAAAAUGUGCUUUGCACAGCCGAAGUUUGUGACAUGUUGCAACAUAGCAGGCUAGAAACGUUGGUGUUCGUAAGAGUCAUAUCAGAGCUUGAGGUAAAUGGUGUAUGCCUGCUUCUGAGCUGCCAUGCAAAGACACUAUUAUCUCUUGAAUUUAUCCACUGCCAGCUUUAUCCUGCAGUCAUGGAUAAAGUUUGCACUAGUCUUCGCCAGCCAGGAUCCCAAAACUACAAGAUCCAGUCCUUUAGUAUUAAAUCAUCUCGCAUUGAUGAAAGCAAGUCUCUAACCACCUCUGCUGGUCUAUUAAAUCUUCUGUCAUAUGCAAAGUCGCUGCAGUUGCUGUCAUUUAACGAUGUUAAGAUGCAGCCAUCAUUUGCUAAGAUGAUUAUUCAUACUCUCCUUGAAUCUUCCUCUGGUUUACAAACGCUUGACUUGUCAGAAAACAAUCUUGCAGGCUGGCGUUCUACUGUAGACAGAAGUUCUACAAGUUUCUCAUCAGCACUGAAGUCAAAUACAUCCUUGAACUCCUUGACUGUUCUUAACCUAAGGGGAAACAAUUUGCAGGAGGGGGACAUGGAGUAUAUAUGCAAUAUUCUAGCAAAGAUGUCUAAUUUGAGAAGUUUAGAUAUAAGUGACAAUCCAAUCACUGAUGAGGGUAUCAGAUACCUUAUUCCUUUCUUUGAAUUAGCUCUUCAAAGGGGGAAUCCAAUUCGGAAAUUAAGAGCAGAGAACUGCGAUUUGUCCAGUAUUGGUGUGACUAAACUUCUUGAGUGCCUCACACCGAUUGAUAAACCACUUGAUAUGCUGUCUAUAGCAGAUAAUCAUCUUGGGAGUUCUGUGGCAGCUACAUUAGUAAAAUUCCUGGGUUCACAUGUAAGGGAGCUCAAUGUUGAAGACAUCGGCCUAGGACCACUAGGCUUCCAAAUACUUGAGAAAGCAUUGCCAAGGAAAGUAAAUCUCUCCCACAUCAACAUCAGUAAGAACCGCGGUGGGAUGGGUACUGCGCACUUCAUUUCCAGGCUGAUACUGCAAGCAUCAAACCUUGUAUCAGUCGAUGCAGGAUCUAACCUUUUACCUCCUGAAUCGUUGGAAGUGAUUUGUAAUGCAUUGAAGCAAACAACAUGUAACUUGACGCGAAUAGACCUGAUGGGCAACCUGCAAUUGUCAAGUGCUAUCUUCCCUGCAGUCUUUGAGUUCAAGAAGCGCGGAAAGCCAAUCCUGCUUGUUCCGUCGCAGCAAGGUAGCUGUGCUCCCUAUGAUGCCGACCCGUAA